AUGGCGUCCUCGAACAAGCACUGGCCGAGCAUGUUCAGGUCCAACCCUGCUGCCUGCGACUUCCACCACCAGCCUGACAUGAGCAACACCCACACCAGACCCUCCUUGAUCUCCUCAGGGCUUGACCAGGAGACCACAAGGAGCCCGGGGGAGACGAAGCCGCGGUGGAACCCCCGGCCGGAGCAGAUCAGGAUCCUGGAGGGGAUCUUCAACUCCGGCGUCGUCAACCCUCCGCGCGACGAGAUCCGCCGCAUCCGCCUCCGUCUGCAGGAGUACGGCCACGUCGCCGACGCCAACGUCUUCUACUGGUUCCAGAACCGCAAGUCUCGCACCAAGAACAAGCUCCGCGCCGCCGCGGCCGCAGCCGCUGCCCAGGGCCAACAGCCUACCGGCGGCCGCGCCGCCGUGAUGCGCGCGUCCCUAGCGGUGAGGACGCCUGCGCCGGCUCCCGUGACGCCGCCGAGGCGUUUCCUCGCGCCGUCCGGCACGCUCCAGGCGCCGACAUCCUCGUCGUCAUCCUCCUCCGACCGCUCCUCCGGAUCCAGCAGGUCGGUGACCAUGAAGACCACGGCCAUGGCGUCUGCUGCGGCAGCCUCCUUGUCCCAGCCGAUGGCACCGCUGUCGACGACCGCCGCCAUCGACCUGUUCGCCCCGGCACCACCACUGACACCGUCGCCUGCGCUCUCCACGUGCCAGCUCUACUACCAGCUGCAGAACCAUCCCAUGACGUCGAUGCCGACGCCGACACUGGCGUGCGAGCUGGUAACCUCCGCCCCCGAGCCGCCGCCGCACCUCCUGCAGUGGCCGCCGCAGAGCCAGAGCCAGUACCUGCCGGCCACCGAGCUCGGCGGCUUCCUCGGCUCGCAUGCCCACACGCAACCGACGGCGGUCUCCCCUGGCGCGCUCCUCCUGCCUGGCCUCUGCACCGACUCGGCGUUAGAGCAGCACGAGAUCGUGGACGACAUGAGCUGCUCCAAGCCGGGUCUCGGCGUCGGCGGCCAGUACCACUUCAACGUCGCGGCGGAUCCACCCUCCGACGCGGUGAGCGCCGUGAUUAAGGACGACGAGAAGGUCAGGCUGGGGUUUCUGCACCACUACGGCCUCGGCGCCACCGCCGGCGCGGACGUCAGUGCGGCCGCCCUCCCAUGCAUUCCGCCUACCGGCAACGCCGCCGCAAGCUCUGCAUCCACCGAUCAGCUGCAAGGGCUGCUGGACGCCGGGCUGCUCACCGGAGGAGGCGCGCCGGCGCCAAUGGCGACGGUGGUGACCGUGGCCGCCGGGCGGCCGGGCGCCCCCGUGCAAUGCUACAGCGUGCCGGCGAUGGCGCGCAUGGACGUGAAGGCGCUGUUCGGUCCGGCGGCCGUGCUGCUCGGGCAGUCCGGCGAGGCCAUCCCCGUCGACGGGGCCGGGGUCACCGCCGAGCCCCUCCAGAACGGCGCCUGGUACUACGUCCUGAUGUGA
RNAcentral lists this ribosomal RNA (1461 nucleotides) under Triticum aestivum (bread wheat). RNAcentral's name for it is "partial small subunit ribosomal RNA". The record is from RNAcentral. Lineage: Eukaryota; Viridiplantae; Streptophyta; Magnoliopsida; Poales; Poaceae.